This 23-nucleotide non-coding RNA is filed under the name Arabidopsis thaliana (thale cress). The record is from RNAcentral. Lineage: Eukaryota; Viridiplantae; Streptophyta; Magnoliopsida; Brassicales; Brassicaceae.
GAUGGUUCCGUGGUGCAUCUCUA